UGAUUAUUUUAUAAUAAAUAUAAAAAAUUAAAUUAAAGUUCUAGAUAAAUUAUUUGAUAAUGACAUACUUUAUCUAUAAGUCUUGACCAAGUCAUGUGCCAGCAGUCGCGGCAACACAUGGAAGACAAGUGUUAUUCAUCAUCACUAGGUUUAAAGGGUACGUAGAUAGUUAAUUAAGUCUAAAACAGAUACUGAUUAUACUAGAGUUUUAUAUAAGGAAGUAGUACGGUGAGUUUAGUGAUAGAAUAUAAAGACCACUUAGAGACUGGUAAGGGCGAAAGCAACUUUUUAUGUAAAAACUGACAUUAAGGGACGAAGGCUUAAUAAAUGAACAGGAUUAGCUACCCUGGUAAUGUGAGCAGACAAUGAUAAAUGCCAUAUAUAAGAUAUAUUAUAUUUUAUAUAUAAAUGAAAGUGUAAGCAUUUCACCUCAAGAGUAAUACGGCAACGUAGGAACUGAAAUCAUUAGACCGUUUCUGAAAAAAGUAGUGAAGUAUGUUGUUUAAUUCGAUGAUCCUCGAAAAACCUUACCACAAUUUGUAUAAUAUACAGGCGUUGCACGGUUGUCUUCAGUUAAUGUCGUGAGAUAUUGGUUUGUUCCAAAAAAUUGACGUAAACCCUUGCCUUUUUUUAUACAAAAGGUAGUUUGCCAAAUACUUUGGUUAUGAUACAAGGGACCAAGGCAAAUCAUCAUGACCUAAAUAUUGUGGGCUAUA
RNAcentral lists this ribosomal RNA (716 nucleotides) under Coenogonium luteum. Its description in RNAcentral is "SSU rRNA". It matches the Rfam family "Bacterial small subunit ribosomal RNA", at positions 406 to 1218 of the family's 1533-position model. The record is from RNAcentral. Lineage: Eukaryota; Fungi; Ascomycota; Lecanoromycetes; Ostropales; Coenogoniaceae.